RNAcentral lists this ribosomal RNA (405 nucleotides) under uncultured bacterium. Its description in RNAcentral is "bacterial SSU rRNA". It matches the Rfam family "Bacterial small subunit ribosomal RNA", at positions 355 to 775 of the family's 1533-position model. The record is from RNAcentral.
UGGGGAAUAUUGGACAAUGGGCGAAAGCCUGAUCCAGCAAUACCGAGUGAGUGAUGAAGGCCUUAGGGUUGUAAAGCUCUUUUCAGCAGGGAAGAUAAUGACGGUACCUGAGAAAGAAAGCCCCGGCUAACUCCGUGCCAGCAGCCGCGGUAAGACGGAGGGGGCUAGCGUUGUUCGGAAUUACUGGGCGUAAAGAGUGCGUAGGCGGUUUAGUAAGUUGGAAGUGAAAGCCCGAGGCUUAACCUCGGAACUGCUUUCAAAACUACUAAUCUAGAGUGUAGUAGGGGAUGAUGGAAUUCCUAGUGUAGAGGUGAAAUUCUUAGAUAUUAGGAGGAACACCGGUGGCGAAGGCGGUCAUCUGGGCUACAACUGACGCUGAUGCACGAAAGCGUGGGGAGCAAACAG